Molecule: long non-coding RNA, 1933 nt
Organism: Alexandromys fortis (reed vole)
Lineage: Eukaryota; Metazoa; Chordata; Mammalia; Rodentia; Cricetidae
Exons: 5
Source: RefSeq, a predicted model, not a curated record
AUUUGAAUAAACAUAUUUAUUAGCCCCAGGAAUUUCUAGAAAACCAACCCAUUUUCUGGAUUGCAAUGAUUAGAAACUGGCUUUUGCAAUUCCACAGUUCACAUUUGACAUUUCACAGUGCAAAUAGGAAUAUUUGAACAACUUGAAAGUCGUCUCAUUUUAAUCUCUGUUUCCACUGAAAGAAGCAGUUAUGAUAUAUAUAAAUAUAUUGUCACAAUGUCCUAACUCUAGUUACUUAGUAAUAUUAAUUAGCCAAAUGAAGUAAAAAAGAAAAAAAACCCCUUCAUUCCAUUUCUCUCUACCAACCAUACUCUAUUUGUGAUAGGCAUUUUUUCUUUGUAAAAAAAUUGUGUUUAUCAUUUUCAUUAGCUUCAUUUCAGGAGGGCAUUUGUUACUUUGUUUAAGCCUGCAAAGACUUUCCAAAGUUAGUUGUCACAAUGUAUCAGCAGCUGUCCCCACCUUCUGUUUUCCUCUCUGCCCCAGCACCCCAGAGCCUGGCAAGCAGCGAGCCAGAAACUUCAAGUUGUGUAGUUCAUUCGGUUGAGUUUUCCAAGAAGCAGAUUUACCUUGAUUGAAACGAACCUAAAAUAAGCAACCCCACCAGCAAGUACCCUAGGCUAGACCUAUAAUAGAGGCAGCGGCCUGGCCUGAUCUGGGAAGCUAUGGGUAAUGUUACCUUCUGGUGUUCCAUCUUCUGCUGCUGGGCUUAAUGUGCUUAGAAAUGACUUUGUAGCCAUUAUUAAUACAUGCAUAUUAAAUCUAUACCAUCCAUGUUUGCAGGAGAAAGGGAGAGUUUUUAUAACGGGUUGGCUUAUCCUGUCACUGUGAAGAUUGGCAGGCAUCCCACUUCAAGUCCAAAGGUUGUCAGGCCACCACGCAACCGAAGAGCAGACAUUCUAACCCAAACGCUGAUUCCUGAGGCAACACCAGCCUUUGACUCCGGUUCAGAUUCUAACAGUGUAGAACACAUACAUUGUGGAGAUUCUGCUCCAAGAAUACCCCUGGGAGAAGAGACGUACACUGUCUCACAAGCUUCGCUUCUGUCUGAAGAGCGGGUUUGAAGACAUUCCUGACUCCUUUAGGCAGCCAUGGCAGCGCCCGCAAACUGAGGAGGGCUACGCCGUCCUGCAUUUGAGAUCAGCCUAAGCUCCACUCAGAGUCCUUGUCCCAAAGAAAAUACACACAAACAGUCUCCAAAACAGACAAAUGAACCAACGAAAUCACAAGUCAAGUUGACAGCUCAGAGAAGAUAAGUACAAAGAGAUAACAUUUAUAAAGGAACUGAUAAGUGGAAGGAAGAAAGGGGAAAAAUGGAAGAAGGAAAUAAUUUAAAAAUUCCAAGAGACUCUCCAAACAGUGCAGGCUAUUGUCAUUGCUUGUGGUUGCUUCCCCAAACUUGAAGAUAAGUACAAAGAGAUAACAUUUAUAAAGGAACUGAUAAGCAGAAGGAAGAAAGGUGAAAAUGAAAGAAGAAGGAAAUAAUUUAAAAAUUCCAAGAGACUCUCCAAACAAUGUAGGCUAUUGGCAUUGCUUGUGGUUGCUUCCCCAAACUUGAAGGCAGGAAGCUUUAUGAUGUGACUGAGGUUGUUUUUUAAUCCACUCUGGAAAUCCACAGGGCACGAUAAACAGCUCUCUAGACAUGCUGAGGAUUAAGGAGCAGGCUGUGAAGACAGAAUCCGGAGAAGACCCGUAUUAGCUGAUGGCUGUGUUCGAGAUUGAGAUCGUCAGACCUGGGGUAACAAUGAAUGGAGGCUGGAUGUGAGAGAAAAUAAUCAUCAAUGUACAUACUCACACAUGUCAUUCGGAAUAGCUGUGAUGUUCACCACGGCCUUCCAAAGAAAAUAAAAGAAAGAAGAAAGAAAAGUUGAUCAUUGAAGUUCUUAAUCAUUCAAGGUAAAGCAAGUGGUCUCAUUUGUAUGUAGACAGGAAGGAC